Vicugna pacos (alpaca) is the source of this 1899-nucleotide non-coding RNA. Lineage: Eukaryota; Metazoa; Chordata; Mammalia; Artiodactyla; Camelidae. The record is from RefSeq and is a predicted model, not a curated record.
GCCAGGAUUUUAGCUGUAAGAAGCUUUCCAGGGGAUUCUGACGUGGACUGAUGCUGGGGACCACCGGGCCAGAGCACCACUGUGUCCACUUCAUAUAAACAGGAGGGCAUUGCUCCCUUUCCUCACUGAGGGGACCUCCUUGAUGAUGGAAAGUGCAAGAGGUGACUAAUUUUAAAGGGGCGACUCCACUGGACUCCCUGGCAAAACGCUAUGAGAAGCACAUUGCUUUUGCUUGGCCUCCAGCGUCUCUGUGACAUUUGGCUUUGAGAUGUGUCUGACCUCUGGGACUGGAAAUGGCCAUUUCAGUUUCUGCUGUUGUUCCUCAUUGACUAAGGUAAAUAAUUUGGGCCAGGGAUCUAGCCUCUGAAGAAAAGAGGAAACAGAGAGCAAGUUGCUCCAUACAGAGGAGAAAAUAUUCCCAAAUUGAGCAUGGCGCUCUGCUGCAGGGAGAAGAGGGGAUUCUCACUGAUUCUGGAAAAACUGUUAUACUCUGGGUCCACGUCAGAGGUGACAAGGAUGCUGGGAAUGGCGCCCGGCUGACUCGCAGUGGAGACCGGAAAGAAACUGAGCUAUGGCCCCCGGCUGGAAGGAAUGAACCCCUGCAUCUUCCCCUCUCUGGGCUAGCCCUAGAAAUUUGGCCAAGUCCUUCUGGAAGGGAGCAGACAGCAAGUCCAGGAGAACCAACCCUUCUUUCAGGAUUGAAAAUCACGAGCAAUUCCAUUAAAAACCGGCACAUGUGGUUGGUUUUGCAUAUCCGAGGAGACUAUGUUCGCACCCUCAUCUUCUAGGAGCGAAGCCAGCUAUGCAAAUGCGUAACUGUGAAGUCAAGAGUGAGAGCUGUACAUAGGCGAGUCCAAGAGAAUGGAGCACUCUCAAAAAUGACAACUCUGGAGCUGGAUUUUGUGUGAAGGUGUUGUCACAACCAACUUGUAAGGAAGCGAUCACAGCUAUUUGUAUAAUAUUACAAACAGUCUUUGAACUCUGCUCAUAAUUAAAUUGUACACAGCAAUAUGGAAGCUUAACUUGUCCUUCAUAGCAUAUUAGAAAAUUUUUCUAACAUACCACAAUCUGUUAACAGCAUCCUGUUUUGUUCAUGUCCUCAGGGCACUGAAGAGGGAAUGGUCAGAAUUUGAGGAUUCUGGUAUUGCUUCUCAAGAAGAUGUUGGUGGGGCCUGAUAUCUGGGAAUCAAGGCUUCCCUGAAAAUCUGGGGCAAGUAUAUAAAGCCAUAUGUCUAAUUAUUGAAAAGUUACAUAUCCCACUAACAAAUCUGACAGGCGUGACUUCACUGUGACAAAAUAUAUGUACUGCUAUGUUUUCCUUUGACUCCAAGUUGACAAAAUAGCAAACACUACUAAGCUCAAUGAUUGCAUACGUCUGGGUGUUGUUUUGAAGGGCCAGUGAUGUUUGCACAAGCAAUGGUUUUAUGUUGCAAGAUGUUCCUCAGCCAACUUACGCAACUAUUGUGAAGGCUGCAUUAAUUUGUGAAAACGCCUGGAAUAAAGAAUUGAAACCAAAGAGAAGCCAGAAAUUGGACACUCAGUGUUAUUGGGAAACGAGAAUUCCUUAUGUAAGAGCCCAUUGCCUUUGUAGCUAAGAAGACAGGUGGACAGGUUAAUUAUUUCGUCUUUCCUCUUAUGCAGGCAUUCUUGUCUGUCAAGUCAUCUUCAUACUCCAAAGCAGCCCAUCUCUAAUUUGAGAACCCUCCAAACCCUCACAGCAUUUGAAGGCAGUUCUUGUCUGGACAGAGGGCAAGAGAUGUGGAAACACAUUUUUCUGGGUCCAAAUUGUAUUAGUCACGUGAAUGCUUGUUUAGGGUUCUGAAUCUCUCUGUGCAAAUACUGAGUGGCAGAUUCAAAGCGACAGAGGUGCCUGUGUGUCUUUUAAUAAAUGUAUUUUUG